Molecule: non-coding RNA, 205 nt
Organism: Pelobates cultripes (western spadefoot toad)
Lineage: Eukaryota; Metazoa; Chordata; Amphibia; Anura; Pelobatidae
Source: the annotation of a GenBank genome assembly
CAAUGUCUCAGCAGUACGGUAUAUAAACCAUCUGGGAGGUACCAAGUCACGCAUCUUAGCGGUCUUGGCUCGAGACUUUUGGCAUUACUGUUUACAGAACAAUGUGUCAGUUACCGCGGAACACAUCCCAGGCCUGGACAAUUACACCAUGGAUUGGAACUCCCGUUACCUGAGGGACUCGGGAGAUUGGAGACUUCAACCGAGC